Molecule: ribosomal RNA, 404 nt
Filed under: Trinotoperla nivata
Lineage: Eukaryota; Metazoa; Arthropoda; Insecta; Plecoptera; Gripopterygidae
Description: partial 12S ribosomal RNA
Rfam family: Microsporidia small subunit ribosomal RNA (bases 51-404)
Source: RNAcentral
UAAACUACGAUUAGAUACCCUAUUAUUUUAAAUGUAAAAUUAUAAUGCUUGGGUAGUAAUAGAUAUGGUCUUGAAACUCAAAGAAUUUGGCGGUGUUUUAGUCCUUUCAGAGGAACCUGUCCCGUGAUCGAUAGUCCACGUUUUAUCUUACUUAAUUUUGUUAUCAGCUUGUAUACCGCCGUCGUCAGAAUGUCCUUUGAGGGGAAUAAUUUUCUUGAUUUUUAAAUAGAAUUGAUGUCAGGUCAAGGUGCAGCUUAUGGUUAAGAGGAGAUGGGUUACAAUAAGUUUAUUUAUACGAAUAAUUAGUUGAAAAAUUAAUUUGAAGGUGGAUUUGAUUGUAAUUUGUUCAAUUAAAUUUGAGUGACUUUGGCUCUAAAACAUGCACACAUCGCCCGUCGCUCUUA